GGUGAGUAAUACAUCGGAACAUGCCCAGUCGUGGGGGAUAACACUUCGAAAGAAGUGCUAAUACCGCAUACGUCCUGAGGGAGAAAGCGGGGGAUCGCAAGACCUCGCGCGAUUGGAGUGGCCGAUGUCAGAUUAGCUAGUUGGUGGGGUAAAGGCCUACCAAGGCAACGAUCUGUAGCUGGUCUGAGAGGAUGAUCAGCCACACUGGGACUGAGACACGGCCCAGACUCCUACGGGAGGCAGCAGUGGGGAAUUUUGGACAAUGGGGGCAACCCUGAUCCAGCCAUUCCGCGUGAGUGAAGAAGGCCUUCGGGUUGUAAAGCUCUUUCGGCAGGAACGAAACGGCGAGCUCUAACAUAGCUCGCUAAUGACGGUACCUGAAGAAGAAGCACCGGCU
This 397-nucleotide ribosomal RNA is filed under the name uncultured bacterium. RNAcentral describes it as "bacterial SSU rRNA". It matches the Rfam family "Bacterial small subunit ribosomal RNA", at positions 105 to 498 of the family's 1533-position model. The record is from RNAcentral.